RNAcentral lists this ribosomal RNA (1343 nucleotides) under uncultured bacterium. RNAcentral's name for it is "16S ribosomal RNA". It matches the Rfam family "Bacterial small subunit ribosomal RNA", at positions 28 to 1378 of the family's 1533-position model. The record is from RNAcentral.
GACGAACGCUGGCGGCGUGCUUAACACAUGCAAGUCGAACGGAAAGGCCCUGCUUUUGUGGGGUGCUCGAGUGGCGAACGGGUGAGUAACACGUGAGUAACCUGCCCUUGACUUUGGGAUAACUUCAGGAAACUGGGGCUAAUACCGGAUAGGAGCUCCUGCUGCAUGGUGGGGGUUGGAAAGUUUCGGCGGUUGGGGAUGGACUCGCGGCUUAUCAGCUUGCUGGUGGGGUAGUGGCUUACCAAGGCUUUGACGGGUAGCCGGCCUGAGAGGGUGACCGGCCACAUUGGGACUGAGAUACGGCCCAGACUCCUACGGGAGGCAGCAGUGGGGAAUAUUGCACAAUGGGCGGAAGCCUGAUGCAGCAACGCCGCGUGCGGGAUGACGGCCUUCGGGUUGUAAACCGCUUUCGCCUGUGACGAAGCGUGAGUGACGGUAAUGGGUAAAGAAGCACCGGCUAACUACGUGCCAGCAGCCGCGGUGAUACGUAGGGUGCGAGCGUUGUCCGGAUUUAUUGGGCGUAAAGGGCUCGUAGGUGGUUGAUCGCGUCGGAAGUGUAAUCUUGGGGCUUAACCCUGAGCGUGCUUUCGAUACGGGUUGACUUGAGGAAGGUAGGGGAGAAUGGAAUUCCUGGUGGAGCGGUGGAAUGCGCAGAUAUCAGGAGGAACACCAGUGGCGAAGGCGGUUCUCUGGGCCUUUCCUGACGCUGAGGAGCGAAAGCGUGGGGAGCGAACAGGCUUAGAUACCCUGGUAGUCCACGCUGUAAACGGUGGGUACUAGGUGUGGGGUCCAUUCCACGGGUUCCGUGCCGUAGCUAACGCUUUAAGUACCCCGCCUGGGGAGUACGGCCGCAAGGCUAAAACUCAAAGGAAUUGACGGGGCCCCGCACAAGCGGCGGAGCAUGCGGAUUAAUUCGAUGCAACGCGUAGAACCUUACCUGGGUUUGACAUGGAUCGGGAGCGCUCAGAGAUGGGUGUGCCUCUUUUGGGGUCGGUUCACAGGUGGUGCAUGGCUGUCGUCAGCUCGUGUCGUGAGAUGCUGGGUUAAGUCCCGCAACGAGCGCAACCCUUGUUCACUGUUGCCAGCACGUUAUGGUGGGGACUCAGUGGAGACCGCCGGGGUCAACUCGGAGGAAGGUGGGGAUGACGUCAAGUCAUCAUGCCCCUUAUGUCCAGGGCUUCACGCAUGCUACAAUGGCUGGUACAGAGAGUGGCGAGCCUGUGAGGGUGAGCGAAUCUCGGAAAGCCGGUCUCAGUUCGGAUUGGGGUCUGCAACUCGACCUCAUGAAGUCGGAGUCGCUAGUAAUCGCAGAUCAGCAACGCUGCGGUGAAUACGUUCCCGGG